CCUACGGGUGGCUGCAGUGAGGAAUAUUGGUCAAUGGGCGCGAGCCUGAACCAGCCAAGUCGCGUGAGGGAUGACGGUCCUACGGAUUGUAAACCUCUUUUGCCGGGGAGCAAGCGUGCGUUCGUGAACGCACGUCGAGAGUACCCGGAGAAAAAGCAUCGGCUAACUCCGUGCCAGCAGCCGCGGUAAUACGGAGGAUGCGAGCGUUAUCCGGAUUUAUUGGGUUUAAAGGGUGCGUAGGCGGGAGGCACAGUCAGCGGUAAAAAUGCGGGGCUCAACGCCGUCGAGCCGGUGAAACUGGCGUUGUUGAGUGGGCGAGAAGUAGGCGGAAUGCGUGGUGAAGCGGAGAAAUGCAGAG
This 358-nucleotide ribosomal RNA is filed under the name uncultured bacterium. Its description in RNAcentral is "partial 16S ribosomal RNA". It matches the Rfam family "Bacterial small subunit ribosomal RNA", at positions 338 to 693 of the family's 1533-position model. The record is from RNAcentral.